GAGGAUUCAGGGGAAAGAUAAGAUGUUCAUUUUGGGAGAAUGAAUCAUGAAUAUGGAGAACUGCAUUUGAAGUAGGAUUCCAAUAAUGUCUGGGCUGAAAAUAGAGGUUUCAGAGUCAUACACAAAGCUGUGGUGGUAGUGGUGGAAUCUGUGGGCACUGCCGAGAGUACCCAAGCAAGUGGUGGCAGAAGGAGAAACCUGACGAGAAGGAGCAGGCAUUCAGAGAUGGAAAUCACAAUUAGAAAGAAGCUGAUGUCACUGAAACAAAGACAAAAGGAAACUAAAGGAAAAUGAAAUCAAGCAAGACUAGUGAGUUUAAAAGCUGCAGAGAACCCUUGAAAGUACAGGAUGGCAAAAUGAAAGACAUGGCUGGAAUGGUGAAAGGAGCUUAGGAAUUUGAGUUUGUCUUUUGUUCCUCGGACUAUUCUUCAAGAGUGAUCCAAAGAUGUCUGUGUGGAAAUUAUUUCACUGUACUGCAACACUGAAGAUUUGAAAGUUUAGCAUAUGCUUAUGAAGGUCAACUAUUUGUUAAAGAUGUUCAAAGAAUUCAUAUUAUAAGAAAUUCCUCAAAAAAUUCAGGAAGUAGUGAAGUGCUGAAGAGAAGAGUAACAGAGGCAGUGGGACCUUGAAACAAGAAAUAGGAGAAAAGGAAAGGAAGUUUGAAGGCAGAAGAUGUCUAAAGCAACUGCAUCCAAUUCUUCUGAAGACUGAAGUUGAAAAACAGGAAAGGAAGUUUGGGGGAGCUGCCAUCCCCCUACCUACUCUUGUAUAGAAGGACUUCCUUGUAAAGAGGCUUUCCUUGUGAAGAGGACUCAAGACCUUGACCUUAGUUCUUCAAAGUUGCUAUUCCUCCAGGGUACAUGAAGAGCUGGCUAGAACAAGAUCUCCAACAUGGCACAGCAACUUCUCCUUUGUCAAUCUGGGUGACACAAUAGGGCAUAAGAACACACAAAAGUAUACUUUUCAGGAAGGGCGGGGACUGGGGAAGCACCUGCUAGACCUACACUGUAAGUGAAGAAGAUCAGCAAAAUAUUUAUGAGUAAUGGAAGAGAGAAGAGAAGUCUUGGGAUGCAAUCAAGAAAUUGAAUCCAAAUCUAUUAACUGAAAUCUGUAGGUAGUGUCCUACUAGUGUGGACCUGUUGAGCAACAGCCAGUUCAGGAAAGGUGAUGAAGACUUGAAAGAUGAAACCAAGAAGAAUAUGAAAGUUAUGGCAAGGUAGGGAAAUGUAUGAUAUUUGAGAUUCCUGGAGUCCUGGAUGGUGAAGUGGUAUGUACAACUUUGUGAAUUUAGGAGAGUUGAGUCAGCAAUUAAAACUGUUGUUGAUCUAAAUAGAAGAUAUUUUGGUGACUGAGUGGUGAAAACAUAUUUCUACAAUUUAGAUGAAUUCAGGGUCUUGGAUCCAGUAGAACAAGUUCUGUUAAGAGCUAGAGUCAUCUCCUUGAUCCUUAUAUGGGCUGCAGGUGUGCAAUUAACCACAUCAGCCUCAACAACUCUUUGCCACUAAGAUUCUUAGAUGAAUCUGGAUAAUACAAGUUGAUGAAUCUCUUUAUGAUUUUGUGGAUUAUUAAUAUUCUAUGAAAAUCCUUUUAAAAGAGAGGUUCUAUCAUUCCAUAGAUUAGCUGCAGAUACUCAUAAAGUCUCACCUAUAUGUAUUUAGCUAGGCAAGCAUUUAAAUAAUAAUUAGUCUGCUGAAUUUAGUAAUAAAAUUUUGAGAGGAUAAACUCAAGAAAACUUUCUCAAGCAUUUUUGAGGAUGUUGUUAGCUCCAGGUUUGCCAGUGUACCCUCCAUCCUAUUACCCCUUUUUCUUCAUCUUGUCUUCAAGUUCUUGGUCCCUGAACAAUUUUCAAACUUUGGCCCCUGAUUUCUAUAACACAUUGUAGUUCAGAAUUUGAUCCAAUAACCAUUCAUAGAACACUGAGUAGGGCUUGUUAUUAUCUUAUUCCAUGUGGCACAUGAUUGUUUCAAUGCCUCUGUAAGAUGCACACUUUCAAACUUCCUUCCUUCAUUUCCCUAACCAAGUUUCCUCCCUGUGGUUAUUCACAUCUAUUCACAUGUGUUCUUAUUCUCUAGGCUUCCUAGACUCAAUCUCUGGACAACUUUUCAUUUCUUUUGCUUUCCUUCUCCCCUUAGAUAUUCUCCUGUGAGAUCAGUAUUGGAUUGUAUUUAAAGUAUGAAAUGUGUAACAGCUGGAACACACUAGGCAUUUAACAGAGACAUUUCAUUUUUUUCUACCAUAAUUCCUCCCAGAUCCACAUUCUUCACAUUUGGGCCUCAAUGUAUCCUUCUUUCCAUUUCACAGUGUACACUAUCUCCACAAGCAUUCCCAGCCUUAGCUCUAAUUCUUUAUAAUAAGUGUUGACUGUGUCUUUCCAAAAGCUAUGUCCAAAUUCUAAUUUCUAUUACCAGGGACCAAGGCCUUAAUUUUUUUUUGGAGGUAUGCCUUUGUCAAUAUAAUUGAAGAUCUCAAAGAAGAUCAUUCUUGGUUUAGGAUGGAUCCUAAAUUCAGAUAGCUUUAAUGUAAGAGAAAACUGAGACAUAGAAGGGGAGGCUAGUGAGGAUGAAGGAAGAGGCAGCUUCAGAUCAAACAAUCCCACAGGUUGGCCCCACCCAUCAAUAGAUUAUUCUUCAAUGCCUCCAAAAGGAGCAUGCCCUCAUGUACUUUGAUUUGUGAUUUCUGAGCUAAAGAAAUAUGAGAGAAUAAAUUUGUGGAAAUUUAGUAGGCUUAAGAAGCUAAUGUAUCCUCUUUGAUAUUUUUAAAAUAAAUUUUAUUUCUUAACUGAUACACAAAAUAAAUUGCAUGAAAACCAUAGGAUAUUUUAACAGAUGUAUACAUUGUAUAGUGUUCUUCUUGUUGAUCUAGUUCUUAUUCCUUCAUUGUGAAAAUUGUCAUAAUUUCUUCUGGCUUUUUGAAAUGUAUGAAAUAGUAUUAUUUUCUUUAGUCACUUUAUUGUAGGUGUAUUGCUCCAGUAUCAGAACUCAUUGAUUAAACUUUCCUUAACUUCUUCCCCCAGUUUCUGGUAAUGACCAUUGCACUCUCAGUUUCUAUGAAACCAGUAUUUAUCAGGUCUACAUAUGAAUGAGCAUAUGUACUGUUGUCUUUCUGUGCCUGACAUGAAUUAUUCUAAUGAACUUUACUUCCAUCUA
Mesocricetus auratus (golden hamster) is the source of this 3146-nucleotide long non-coding RNA. RefSeq lists it as uncharacterized. The record is from RefSeq and is a predicted model, not a curated record. Lineage: Eukaryota; Metazoa; Chordata; Mammalia; Rodentia; Cricetidae. The transcript has 3 exons.